AACGAACGCUGGCGGCAUGCCUAACACAUGCAAGUCGAACGAGACCUUCGGGUCUAGUGGCGCACGGGUGCGUAACGCGUGGGAACCUGCCCUUAGGUUCGGAAUAACUCCCCGAAAGGGGUGCUAAUACCAGAUAAUGUCUUCGGACCAAAGAUUUAUUGCCUUUGGAUGGGCCCGCGUUGGAUUAGCUAGUUGGUAGGGUAAAAGCCUACCAAGGCGACGAUCCAUAGCUGGUCUGAGAGGAUGAUCAGCCACACUGGGACUGAGACACGGCCCAGACUCCUACGGGAGGCAGCAGUGGGGAAUAUUGGACAAUGGGCGAAAGCCUGAUCCAGCAAUGCCGCGUGAGUGAUGAAGGCCUUAGGGUUGUAAAGCUCUUUUACCCGGGAUGAUAAUGACAGUACCGGGAGAAUAAGCUCCGGCUAACUCCGUG
Molecule: ribosomal RNA, 433 nt
Filed under: uncultured bacterium
Lineage: Bacteria
Description: partial 16S ribosomal RNA
Rfam family: Bacterial small subunit ribosomal RNA
Source: RNAcentral